UACGAAGGGGGCUAGCGUUGCUCGGAAUUACUGGGCGUAAAGGGCGCGUAGGCGGAUGUCUUAGUCAGAGGUGAAAGCCCAGGGCUCAACCUUGGAACUGCCUUUGAUACUGGACAUCUUGAGUACGGGAGAGGUGAGUGGAACUCCGAGUGUAGAGGUGAAAUUCGUAGAUAUUCGCAAGAACACCAGUGGCGAAGGCGGCUCACUGGCCCGGAACUGACGCUGAGACGCGAAAGCGUGGGGAGCAAACAGG
Molecule: ribosomal RNA, 253 nt
Filed under: uncultured prokaryote
Description: partial 16S ribosomal RNA
Rfam family: Bacterial small subunit ribosomal RNA
Source: RNAcentral